RNAcentral lists this transfer RNA (71 nucleotides) under Caerostris extrusa. RNAcentral describes it as "tRNA-Tyr". The stretch from base 4 to 63 matches the Rfam family "tRNA", at positions 7 to 64 of the family's 71-position model. From Rfam's summary of the family: Transfer RNA (tRNA) molecules are approximately 80 nucleotides in length. Their secondary structure includes four short double-helical elements and three loops (D, anti-codon, and T loops). Further hydrogen bonds mediate the characteristic L-shaped molecular structure. tRNAs have two regions of fundamental functional importance: the anti-codon, which is responsible for specific mRNA codon recognition, and the 3' end, to which the tRNAs corresponding amino acid is attached (by aminoacyl-tRNA synthetases). tRNAs cope with the degeneracy of the genetic code in two manners: having more than one tRNA (with a specific anti-codon) for a particular amino acid; and 'wobble' base-pairing, i.e. permitting non-standard base-pairing at the 3rd anti-codon position. Lineage: Eukaryota; Metazoa; Arthropoda; Arachnida; Araneae; Araneidae. The record is from RNAcentral.
UCGAUAACUCAGUUGGCAGAGCGGUGGAAUGUAGAUCCAUAGGUCGCUGGUUCGACUCCGGCUUUUCUAAA